GACUUAAUAGCUCAUUCAGUAGAGAAUGAGACUCUUCAUCUCAGGAUCAUGGGUACGAGCCCCAUGUUGGACA
Molecule: non-coding RNA, 73 nt
Organism: Podarcis lilfordi (Lilford's wall lizard)
Lineage: Eukaryota; Metazoa; Chordata; Lepidosauria; Squamata; Lacertidae
Source: the annotation of a GenBank genome assembly